CUACUGAAAAGUUUGAUCAUGGCUCAGAUUGAACGCUGGCGGCAGGCCUAACACAUGCAAGUCGAGCGGAUGAAGGGAGCUUGCUCCUGGAUUCAGCGGCGGACGGGGGAGUAAUGCCUAGGAAUCUGCCUGAUAGUGGGGGAUAACGUCCGGAAACGCGCGCUAAUACCGGAUACGUCCUGAGGGAGAAAGGGCGGGAUCCUCGGACCUCACGCUAUCAGAUUAGCCUAGGUGGAAUUAGCUAGUUGGUGGGGUAAAGCCCUACCAAGGCGACGAUCCGUAACUGGUCUGAGAGGACGAUCAGUCACACUGGAACUGAGACACGGUCCAGACUCCUACGGGAGGCAGCAGUGGGGAAUUUUGGACUAUGGGCGAAAGCCAGAUCCAGCCAUGCCGCGUGUGUGAAGAAGGUCUUCGGAUUGUAAAGCACUUUAAGUUGCGAGGAAGGGCAGUAAGUUAAUACCUUGCUGUUUUGACGUUACCAACAGAAUAAGCACCUACUAACUUCGUGCCAGCAGCCGCGGUAAUACGAAGCGUGCGAGCGUUAAUCGGAAUUACUGGGCGUAAAGCACUGAGUAGGUGGUUCAGCAAGUUGGAUGUGAAAUCCCCGGGCUCAACCUGGAACUGCAUCCAAAACUACUGAGCUAGAGUACGGUAGAGGGUGGUGGAAUUUCCUGUGUAGCGGUGAAAUGCGUAGAUAUAGGAAGGAACACCAGUGGCGAAGCGACCACCUGGACUGAUACUAACACUGAGGUGCGAAAGCGUGGGGCAGCAAACAGGAUUAGAUACCCUGGUAGUCCACGCCGUAAACGAUGUCGACUAGCCGUUGGGAUCCUUGAGAUCUUAGUGGCGCAGCUAACGCG
RNAcentral lists this ribosomal RNA (863 nucleotides) under Pseudomonas aeruginosa. Its description in RNAcentral is "bacterial SSU rRNA". It matches the Rfam family "Bacterial small subunit ribosomal RNA", at positions 1 to 859 of the family's 1533-position model. The record is from RNAcentral. Lineage: Bacteria; Pseudomonadati; Pseudomonadota; Gammaproteobacteria; Pseudomonadales; Pseudomonadaceae.